Molecule: RNA transcript, 6880 nt
Organism: Apus apus (common swift)
Lineage: Eukaryota; Metazoa; Chordata; Aves; Apodiformes; Apodidae
Gene: HEATR1
Gene name: HEAT repeat containing 1
Exons: 45
Source: RefSeq, a predicted model, not a curated record
CCGCCGCGGCCGCCGCGUCGCCGGCCUGCCUGGGCUUUCGGUCGCCAGGGUUGCGGGGAGGCUGUUUCCCCCGGGGGAGCGGGGGCCAUGACGUCCCUGGCGGAGCAGCUGAAGCGGCUGGCCCUUCCCCAGACCGACCCCAGCCUCCUGAGCCGCAGCGAGGCCGCCUCGCUGCUCUUCAGCCCCAGGGAAGCUGCCGCCAUUGACCGCGACACGUUGUUUGCCAUCGGAUGCACUGGAUUAGAAGAACUGAUGGGUAUUGAUCCUUCAUUUGAAGUAUUCCAGUCCAGCUUGUUUAGUUCCACCUCCAAAGGCCUGGAACGCAGUGUUCAGUCUAAAGCAGUGAAUCAGCAGCUUAAUAAGAAUAUUUCAUUGUUCUUGAUUCACCUGUCCCCUUACUUUAUGCUGAAGCCAGCCCAGAAGUGCCUUGAAUGGCUGAUUCGCAGAUUUCACAUCCAUCUCUACAAUCAAGAUAGUUUGAUUGGUUGCGUUCUGCCAUAUCAUGAAACUAACCUAUUUGUGAGAGUUAUUCAACUUACAGAUAUAAAAAGCCCAACUCACAAAUGGCAUUGGAUGGAUCCAAUAAGGAAACCUGGAGUCCCACUGGCGAGGGGUACUGUCAUUACACACUGCUACAAAGACCUGGAUUUCAUGGACUUCAUAUGCAGGCUGGUGGCAAAAUCUGUGAAGGUUUUUUCAGAGUGUCCUGGCAGCUCAGCUCAACUGAGGGUUCUUCUUGUGUUUUAUGCCUCCACCAUCGUAUCAGCUCUUGGAGCUGCAGAGAAGAUAACAGACACUCUAGUCUCUAUGCUGCUCCCUUACAUCCAAAAGGGUUUGAAAUCCUCUGUACAGGAUUACAGAGCUGCAACGUACAUGAUAAUCUGCCAGAUUACAGUAAAAGUGACAGUGGAGGCUUCCUUGGUGCAUUCCUUGAUGUUACAGAUAAGCAAGAAUUUAUCUAAAGUGCCUGCAUUAGUCAGAGAUGGGUUGGCAUGCUUGAACCUACUUCUACAAACUCAGAAAGGAGACAAACUUGGGAAAAAGCCGUUUAAUUAUCUGUGCAAAACCCCAGAACUGGUAACACUCCUGCAAGGCCUUUCAGCAAGCUAUGAUAUCUCUCCUCUUCUGCGUUACCUGUUGCCUCACCUUGUUUGCACUGUCAUAAAAAGUGAUACAGAGGAACAAGAAGAAGCUGAGGAGACAGAGAGUCAGAUUUAUAUAAGACAUCUUGAAGCUAUUAUUCGGAGUAUACCGCUGGAAAAGGAUUUAGAUCACCUGUUGGCCUCCAAGUUUCUUGAAGAGUUUAUCUCUUGUGGUACAGAGAUUGAAUCCAAUCCCACCCAAAUGGCUGCACUCAAUCAAAAGAUGCUUCCUCUUAUCAGACUUCUUGAGAUAAAGUAUCCUAAAGCCUUAGACUCUGUGUUGGAGAAGCAUCUGGAAGACUGCGUAGAUGAGGCUGACCAGAAUCUUUUUCACCAAUUUAUUUCUCUUUCUUUAAGCUGUGGCAAAUAUGAGUUUCUGGAAGACUCUGAUACCUCCCUUCUGCUUAGUUUGAAUCAUCCUCAGCCAGCUGUGCGGGUCCUGGCUCUUCAGCAUUUGAAAGAUGUUAUCGAAACAUCAAAGGAAGGCUUUGAUCAGUCUUUCAUAGAAGGAGCAAUUUUUGGUCGGCUCAAGGAUGACAACAGAGAUGUUGUAAUGUCUGCUCUCAGUUCUUUGGAGAUUUUCAGGAAACAAGUCAAUCCAGAAUUAGUAGUAUCAAGUCUUUUGAACAUCUUCCAGAGAGCUGAUCUUUCAAAGGAUGCAAAGUGGUACAGGGUUCUGGAGCGAGCAAUAAAAAUUUUAGUCAAAGAGGAGAUUUUGAAAGAGAAAAAAGAACUACUAGAUGAAGCAGUAAUGCAGUUGUUACCUUUUAUGGUGAUCACUAAUGAGAAUUCAAAAUCUUCAGACUGGAAAAUGGCUGUUUGUCUCUCAGAAUCUGAUCUCUGCUCCUUACACCCUUUACUGAAAGGCUGGCCAAAAGCUCUUGAAGAGGCAAUUAAAUCUAGCAAGUCUGCAGAGUUGAUUGGAGAGGCCAACAAGAAAAUGGUUUUGCUGUUUUCUAAAAACAUGACUUCAGGGGACCCUUCCUUACUAUUGAAAAUGGUUGAAGAUCUGAUACUUCUUGCUGAAACGGAAUCUGACACUGUGAGACAGAAAGUAACAACUCUCAUAGUUGGUUCGGUGCUUGUUCAGUGCUGCUGCAAUGCACAGAUGAAGGAAAGUUAUUUUUCAGUGGCCAUCAGAGUCUUCCGUUUCUUGGAUAAAAAAAUAAAAAAUCUCAGAGCUUGUGAUUCUGCAGAGGAAGCUCCCCUAAAUUGGUCUGUUGAAGCAAGACAGAAAACUUCAGUGCCUAAGGACUUGUUAAUUGCAUAUAUAGAAAAGCUUAAUAAUGAUCAGACUGCUUAUGCAGAGGAGUCAGUUAUGUUCCUGUUCUUGUUAAAAAACUUCAUUAAUGGCUUAAAACCUCCUCUCUCCUUUUCAGAAGAGGAAACUUGGUGGAAUCCUGAAUCCAUGAAUCAAGAUAGCCAAGACUACCUGCACCUCCUUUUGGGACUAUUUGACCUACUUGUCUCUGGAGCUAGUGAGGGAAGCAAUGCUGUUCAAUACAGAGCACUUAUGAAUCUUUUACUCAAGGUACAUCUUGAAGAUUCAGAGACUCUCUUCAAAUUCCUUUCAGUUUUAUGGACUUACAGUUAUAACCUUUCAAAUCAUCUGAACUAUGAAAUCAAUGCAAUGCUACAAACUCAAGCUCUGUAUAUUGGCUAUGCACUGCUUGAAUCCCUGACACACCAAAAGAAGAAACAGCUGCUAUUGCCUUCAUCUCCAGUGGUGAUAUCUUUGCUAGUCAACUUGUGUAGUCCAGUGAGUGAAGUUCGAAGGGCUGCUCUCAACUGCCUCCAUUCUUUUAGAGGGAUAAAAGAGUCUCUAUUUCAUCCUGUUCUUCAGCAUUUGGAGCAAAAGGCAGAAGAGAUCAUAUCUGACCCUGCCUACAUAACACAGGUUAUGGAAACACUGUUUGAGGAGCUUGAGACACAAUCGAAACAGAAAUCUCAGAAGAAAAAAUUGUUGGAAGCUUUGGAAAGCAUACUUGAUUGUGUACAGAACCCUGUUUUCCCAUCCUACAUUGCAAGAAACUUAAUGAAAAUUCUUCAUGAAGUCCAUGGAGAGAUGAUUCUUUCUCACCUCUUACCUGCACUAGACCGGUUGCUAGACAAGGUCUUUAAGAAACCCGAGGCAAUGUUGAAAGAUGAAGUUGUUCUCCUACAUCUCAUCCUUGGAAAGUUUAAUGAGUAUUCAGCAACACUCUUGUGCAAAAAUCAGCAGAGUCUGGAUUUAUUUCUCAAAAGUCUGCAUGCUGCCAAGAAAAUCUAUGAAGAAAUCCCACCAUUUCAGAUCACAGCACUUGGGCAGAUUACUAAACCAUUCUUUGCAGCUGUGUCAGAUGGGGUGGUGCAACAGAAACUAUUAAAAACACUGUUUGAUUUACUGUUAAACUGUAAGAAUCCACUUUGUGCCCAGACGAUCAGCAGUGUGUUUAAAGGGAUUUCAGUGUGUUCUGAGCAGAUUGUCAGAGAACUGGAGCCUCCUGAGAAAACCAAAAGUCUGGCCACUGUUCAGCAAACUAGAAGGCAGCAACAGAGAAAGCCUCAAGAUGCAGAACUGGCACCCGAAACAAGCCAUUUCAGCUGGCAGAGGGUUAUGCUUAUUCUGGAAUUACUGCAGCAUAAGAAGAAACUGAGACGUCCGCAGGCGUUGGUACCUGCGCUUUUUAACCUGCUGAGCCGGUGUCUGGAACCUAUGGCAUCAGAAGAAGAAAAUAUGGAAUAUACAAAGCAGCUAAUCCUCAGCUGCCUGCUCAGCAUCUGUCAGAAGUUGUCCCCAGAUGGCAGCAAGAUCCCUACAGAUGUCCUUGACAAAGAAAAAUUCAACGUGGAAUUGAUAGUUCAGUGCAUCAGGAUUUCUAAAAUGCCCCAGACACACCACCAUGCACUGCUGCUCCUUGGAGCUGUUGCUGGCAUGUUUCCUGAUAAAGUUCUUCAUAACAUUAUGCCCAUUUUUACAUUCAUGGGAGCAAAUGUCUUACGUCUGGAUGAUACUUACACUUUCCAAGUAAUUAAUAAGACAGUGCAGAUGGUUAUUCCUGCUCUUAUACAGGCUGAAGACAGUGAUUUGUCAGAGCCCUCUGGAAGUGUGGAAGAGGUGGUGAUAAAGAUCAUCCGUGUGUUUGUGGAUGCCUUGCCCCAUGUGCCAGAGCACCGACGCCUGCCCAUCCUGACCCAGCUGAUCACUACGGUGGGAGGAGAAAAGUUCCUCUGGGUUCUCCUGGUGCUGCUGUUUGAGCAGCAUGUGACCAAAACUGUGACUGCGACAUCAAGCACAGACAAGGAUGCUGUUCUGGAAGCAGACACUGAAUUUUGGAUUUCCAUCUGUUGCGAAUUUAAUGUACAAUCUCAGUUCCAGAGCAUGAUGAAAAUAAUCCAGUACUUGACAGAGCUGCCAGAGAAUAAAGAAGAUGAUCCUGGGACGAAAAAGUCAAGAACAUGUAAGGCAAAGCUAAAAAAUCAGGAUGGGCAGCUCUUCAAUGUGGAGUCUCACUCAGACAAACAACUUCGGCAUUUCAAAUUCUUGUCAGUCUCCUUCAUGUCACAACUUUUAUCCUCUCAGAGUUUUGUGAAAAAGAUAGUUGAAUGUGAAGAAACAGAAGAGCUUCAGAAGUUGGAACAGAGGCUAUUAGAGGACGUUCUUCACUACAUAAACACUGUGGCAUCUUCAGUGGAAGCAAACGUGGACAAACCAACAGCCAAAUUUUGGAGAGUUCUGCUUAACAAGUCCUAUGACAUGCUGGAUAAAGUCAAUGCCUUAUUGCCAACAGAAACCUUCAUCCCUGUAAUUAGGGGACUAAUGACAAAUCAGCUCCCAUCUGUGAGACGUAAGGCAAUGGACCUUUUGAACAAUAAGGUGCAGCAGCGCACAAGGUGGCAGAAGAGCCAGGUCCUGCAGCUCUUGGAGCUAGUUCCUGAGCUCAGUGCUAUUGUGCAGUGUAAAAGAAAAGAGGAAGAGGAGGAGCAGGCUAUCAACAGGCAGACUGCUUUGUUCAGCCUCAAGCUACUCUGCAAAGGUUUUGGCACAGAAAAUCCAGCGCCAUUUGUACCUGUUCUGAAAACUGCCGUCGAUCUGAUUUCUUCAGAGAAGGAGGAGAAGAAUGUGAUGGGAAGUGCUUUGCUGUGCAUAGCUGAGGUCACCUGUACAUUGAAAGCCCAAGCAAUACCUCAGCUUCCAAGGCUGAUGCCAGCACUGUUGAAGACUUUAAAAAAUAAGAAGGAGUUGGUCUCCAAUGAGAUUUACUUGCUGAGUGCUGUCACUGCUCUGCUGAAGGUUGCAGAAACAUUACCACACUUCCUGAGUCCUUAUCUUUUGGAUUGCUUGCUGCAGGUUGUUCGCUUGGAAAAGAUUGUGGUCGAGUUUGGUCCUUCUUCCCAGAUAAGCUUACGUGUGACAUCAUUGAAAACUAUCCUAGCUACAAGGCUUGCUCCCCGAAUACUGUUGCCUGCAGUUACAAAGUGUUACAGUGAAGUGGCAAAUACUCGGAAGAACUGCCUGGGUCCCCUUAUGAACAUUCUGAAGGAGCACAUUGUUGGGAUGGAGAAGGAGCACCUCAUCUCCCAUCAGUCAGAGCUGACGGCAUUUUUCAUGAAAGCCCUGGACUUCCGAACAGAGCAUGCUGAGGAUGAUUUAGAUGAAGUUGGUAAGACAGAGGCUUAUAUUAUUGACUGUCUAAUAAGUAUGGUUAUGAAACUUUCCGAGGCUUCUUUCAGACCCCUCUUCUUCAAGCUCUUUGACUGGUCCAAAACAGAGUCUACCCUGAAAGACAGACUGCUGACAUUCCACCGAAUAGCAGAUCGCAUCGCAGACAAGCUCAAGGGUCUCUUCACCCUCUUUGCUGGUCAUUUAGUGAAGCCAUUUGCUGAAACCCUGAACCAGGUCAACAUUUCUAAAACUGAUGAAGCUUUCUUUGACUCUGAGAAUAGCACAGAGAAGAGCUGUCUACUCUUGCAGUUCACCAUGGACUGUCUGCACAAACUCUUCCUCUUUGAUACCCAGAAGUUCCUGAGUAAGGAAAGAGCAGAAACCUUGAUGAUGCCUCUGGUAGAUCAGCUAGAAAAUAUGCUUGGAGGAGAUGAGAAGUUCCAGGAAAGAGUGACAGCACACCUGAUACCCUGCAUAGCUCAGUUUUCAGUCGCAAUGGCAGAUGAUUCUCUGUGGAAACCACUGAACUACCACAUCCUGCUGAAAAUGAGGCACAGCUCUUCUAAGGUCAGAUUUGCUGCUCUGCUUGCUUUGGUAGAAGUUGCACAAAAACUGAAAGAGAACUACCUGAUCUUGCUACCAGAAUCUAUUCCAUUCUUAGCUGAGCUCAUGGAAGAUGAAUGUGAAGAAGUUGAACGGCAGUGUCAGAAGACAAUUCAACAACUGGAAGUCAUUCUGGGAGAACCACUCCAAAGCUACUUCUAAGUUUAUCACCUGUUUUCAAUUUUGACUGAACUGUGUUAGUCUCAACCUGCAAGUGUUCCAGGCAAACUGUCAUACUAAUUUUUAUCAGAGCAAAGAUCUUAACUUUUUAAUAAAAUACUUGGGAAGCUGGAACAAGCUCUAAACAAAUUCUGAUAGCUGGGCACAAAAAGCAUGACAACGUGAAACUCACUGAAGGCCCCUGUGCAUGGGGCAUCAUGCAGUUACUGUCUCUGGAGGGGCUGUCCUGCUACAAUGUAAGCAUGGUACUCACUGAACCCAUGCGCUGCUGUCCUUAGAAUCUGCUUUGCUGUCAUUUCUAAGGAUGCAA